RNAcentral lists this transfer RNA (70 nucleotides) under Glyptotermes sp. RNAcentral describes it as "tRNA-Ser". It matches the Rfam family "tRNA". From Rfam's summary of the family: Transfer RNA (tRNA) molecules are approximately 80 nucleotides in length. Their secondary structure includes four short double-helical elements and three loops (D, anti-codon, and T loops). Further hydrogen bonds mediate the characteristic L-shaped molecular structure. tRNAs have two regions of fundamental functional importance: the anti-codon, which is responsible for specific mRNA codon recognition, and the 3' end, to which the tRNAs corresponding amino acid is attached (by aminoacyl-tRNA synthetases). tRNAs cope with the degeneracy of the genetic code in two manners: having more than one tRNA (with a specific anti-codon) for a particular amino acid; and 'wobble' base-pairing, i.e. permitting non-standard base-pairing at the 3rd anti-codon position. Lineage: Eukaryota; Metazoa; Arthropoda; Insecta; Blattodea; Kalotermitidae. The record is from RNAcentral.
GGUUGUAAAGCUUUAAAGUAAGCAUGUGUCUUGAAAUCACAAGAAAGAAGUUUAACUCUCCUAACAACCU